GAUUCAUGAUAACUUCUCGAAUCGCAUGGCCUUGCGCCGGCGAUGGUUCAUUCAAAUUUCUGCCCUAUCAACUUUCGACGGCUGGGUCUUGGCCAGCCAUGGUGACAACGGGUAACGGAGGGUUAGGGCUCGACCCCGGAGAAGGAGCCUGAGAAACGGCUACUACAUCCAAGGAAGGCAGCAGGCGCGCAAAUUACCCAAUCCCGACACGGGGAGGUAGUGACAAUACAUACUGAUACAGGGCUCUUUUGGGUCUUGUAAUUGGAAUGAGUACAAUUUAAAUCCCUUAACGAGGAACAAUUGGAGGGCAAGUCUGGUGCCAGCAGCCGCGGUAAUUCCAGCUCCAAUAGCGUAUAUUAAAGUUGUUGCGGUUAAAAAGCUCGUAGUUGAACCUUGGGCCUGGCUGGCCGGUCCGCCUCACCGCGUGCACUGGUACGGUCGGGCCUUUCCCUCUGGGGAACCGCAUGCCCUUCACUGGGUGUGUCGGGGAACCAGGACUUUUAC
RNAcentral lists this ribosomal RNA (504 nucleotides) under uncultured fungus. RNAcentral describes it as "SSU rRNA". It matches the Rfam family "Eukaryotic small subunit ribosomal RNA", at positions 248 to 755 of the family's 1831-position model. Lineage: Eukaryota; Fungi. The record is from RNAcentral.